CAAAAAAAAAAACAUUCACCUAGAAACCCAAACAAAAAAAGAAAGAAACCCAAACGGAAAAAGAGAAACCCAUUCAAGCAGCUUCGAAGCAUCGCCGUCGAAGAGCUCAGCGUCGCCGUCGAAGCGUCUCAGCGACGCCGUCGAAGCUCUCUUCGAAGCGUCGCCGUCAAAGCUCGCUUCGAGGCGUCGCCGUCAAAGCUCGCUUUGAAGCGUCGCUGUCGAAGCUUGCUUCGAAGCGACGCCUUGUUCUCAAUCGACGGCGACGGCAACGCUUUGAACCGUCUCCAAAUUGCCGUCGAAGCGUCUACUUGUUCUCAAUCGACGGUGACGGUGAUGGCGACGGCGACGCUUUGAACCGUCUCCAAAUCGCCGUCGAAGCUUCGCCUUGUUCUCAAUCGACGGCGACGGCGACGGUUUGAACCGUCACCGAUUCUCGACGAUUCCCAUUCGUUGCCGAUUCACUGAUUUGGACCAUUCGUCUCCAAAUCGAUGCCGACGCUUUGAAUCGUUGAAAUAAAGGAGGGGAAGAUUUUAUCAAUUGUUAAAGAAGAGGAUUGGCAGGGGAAAUCCAAGCCUAGCCUGAUUGAUGUGCUAAAUACACAUUGUUUACAAUAACUUUGGAUUUUUUCUGAAAGUUGUAAACUUAGCUUGAGCAAAAUUUCUUAUUGGUGGCUUUGGGGGAUUUCCUUUAGGCAUUAUUUGAAGACAUGAGGACAUCUUCCGUUGGUUCUAAUUAUAUUAUGCCACAUUUUUUGUAUUGUUAUAAAACAUCUUAAGUUAUUUUAUGUGUUGCAAAUAAUUAUUGUAUGUGUUGCAAACAAUUAUUGUAUGGAAGGAGUUUAAAUUGGAUACUUAUUUUAAUUUUAA
Long non-coding RNA from Quercus robur (English oak), 867 nucleotides. RefSeq lists it as uncharacterized. NCBI's taxonomy places the organism in Eukaryota, Viridiplantae, Streptophyta, Magnoliopsida, Fagales, Fagaceae. The record is from RefSeq and is a predicted model, not a curated record. The transcript has 4 exons.